CGGGUUGCAACAGUAACCCAUUAAAGUUGUAAGGUUGGAGAGAGUAUAUAAGUCCUAACCUGUAAAAACAAAUAAACUGCAUUGUACAAAAUGAAUUAUUAUACUAAUUUUUGAGGACUAAUAAAGAACAAACCAGCAAAG
Molecule: long non-coding RNA, 141 nt
Organism: Xenopus laevis (African clawed frog)
Lineage: Eukaryota; Metazoa; Chordata; Amphibia; Anura; Pipidae
Exons: 2
Source: RefSeq, a predicted model, not a curated record